UACGUAGGUGGCGAGCGUUAUCCGGAAUGAUUGGGCGUAAAGGGUGCGUAGGCGGCCUGCUAAGUCUGGAGUGAAAGGUACCGGCUCAACCGGUACAGGCUCUGGAAACUGGCGGGCUAGAGAGCAGGAGAGGGCGGUGGAACUCCAUGUGUAGUGGUGAAAUGCGUAGAUAUAUGGAGGAACACCGGUGGCGAAAGCGGCUCUCUGGCCUGUAACUGACACUGAGGCUUGAAAGCGUGGGGAGCAAACAGG
RNAcentral lists this ribosomal RNA (252 nucleotides) under uncultured bacterium. RNAcentral's name for it is "partial 16S ribosomal RNA". It matches the Rfam family "Bacterial small subunit ribosomal RNA", at positions 524 to 776 of the family's 1533-position model. The record is from RNAcentral.